RNAcentral lists this ribosomal RNA (514 nucleotides) under Dacus pullescens. RNAcentral describes it as "partial 16S ribosomal RNA". The stretch from base 390 to 514 matches the Rfam family "Bacterial large subunit ribosomal RNA", at positions 2473 to 2597 of the family's 2925-position model. Lineage: Eukaryota; Metazoa; Arthropoda; Insecta; Diptera; Tephritidae. The record is from RNAcentral.
GUCUUUUUGAGUUAUUUUUAAAGUCUGACCUGCCCACUGAAUUUUUAAAUGGCCGCAGUAUUUUAACUGUGCAAAGGUAGCAUAAUCAUUAGUCUUUUAAUUGAAGGCUGGUAUGAAUGGUUGGACGAAGUAUAAGCUGUUUCAUAUAUAUUUAUAUUAGAAUUUUAUUUUUUAGUUAAAAAGCUAAAAUAAUAUUAAAAGACGAGAAGACCCUAUAAAUCUUUAUAUUGUUUUAUAGUUUAAAUUUUUUGGAUUUUUUUUAUUUUUAUUUAAAAUAGUAUUUUGUUGGGGUGAUGUUAAAAUUUAAUAAACUUUUAAUUAUUUGUUUGAUCAUUAAUUUAUGAAUUGUUGAUCCAUUAGUAGUGAUUAUAAGAUUAAGUUACUUUAGGGAUAACAGCGUAAUUUUUUUGGAGAGUUCAUAUCGAUAAAAAAGUUUGCGACCUCGAUGUUGGAUUAAGAAAUAGGUUUAGGUGUAGCUGCUUAAAUGUUAAGUCUGUUCGACUUUUAAAUUCUU